GUUGUCGUAUUCACUUCAAUCUAUGUGCAUGUUGGUGUGGAUUAGGGUGGAAUUUAGUUCAAAUUCCACUCCAAUCUACCUCAACACAUGUGGAUUGAUGUGAAUCCACU
Sorghum bicolor (sorghum) is the source of this 110-nucleotide microRNA precursor. It matches the Rfam family "MIR5565 microRNA precursor family". The record is from Rfam. NCBI's taxonomy places the organism in Eukaryota, Viridiplantae, Streptophyta, Magnoliopsida, Poales, Poaceae.